Molecule: ribosomal RNA, 460 nt
Filed under: uncultured bacterium
Lineage: Bacteria
Description: partial 16S ribosomal RNA
Rfam family: Bacterial small subunit ribosomal RNA
Source: RNAcentral
CCUACGGGAGGCAGCAGUGAGGAAUAUUGGUCAAUGGGCGGAAGCCUGAACCAGCCAAGUAGCGUGAAGGAUGACUGCCCUACGGGUUGUAAACUUCUUUUAUAAAGGAAUAAAGCGAGGCACGUGUACCUUUUUGCAUGUACUUUAUGAAUAAGGAUCGGCUAACUCCGUGCCAGCAGCCGCGGUAAUACGGAGGGUCCGAGCGUUAUCCGGAUUUAUUGGGUUUAAAGGGAGCGUAGAUGGGUUGUUAAGUCAGUUGUGAAAGUUUGCGGCUCAACCGGAACAUUGCAAGUGAUACUGGCAGUCUUGAGUACAGGUGAGGCAGGCGGAAUUCGUGGUGUAGCGGUGAAAUGCUUAGAUAUGACGAAGAACCCCGAUUGCGAAGGCAGCUUACUAAACUGUGACUGACAUUGAUGCUCGAAAGUGUGGGUAUCAAACAGGAUUAGAUACCCUUGUAGUC